RNAcentral lists this small nuclear RNA (106 nucleotides) under Physeter macrocephalus (sperm whale). Lineage: Eukaryota; Metazoa; Chordata; Mammalia; Artiodactyla; Physeteridae. The record is from RNAcentral.
GUGCUUGCUUUGGCAGUACAUAUACUAAAAUUGGAACCAUACAGAGAGAUUAGCAUGGCCCCUGCGCAAGGAUGACACGCAAAUUCGUGAAUAUUUCCAUAUUUUU